Lytechinus pictus (painted urchin) is the source of this 3738-nucleotide long non-coding RNA. RefSeq lists it as uncharacterized. The transcript has 3 exons. The record is from RefSeq and is a predicted model, not a curated record. Lineage: Eukaryota; Metazoa; Echinodermata; Echinoidea; Temnopleuroida; Toxopneustidae.
GAUAUGGGUCUAUAAUUACCGAUCUGCUCUUUGUCACCAGCUUUAAAAAUUGGAGAAACUCGCGCAAUUUUCAUUUUUUCAGGAAACACCCCAGAGGUUAACGAUAGAUUGAAUAUAUGACAUAAAGGUUCGCUAAUUAGUUCGAUUACAAGUUUAACAAUCUUAGGUGAGCAUUCAUCAAGACCUGGGGCUUUAUUGUUAUCGAAACGCAUGACAAUGUUACAUAUUGCACGUUGGCUUACCGGAUUUAAAAACAAAGAUUUUGAAUUUGGUUCAGAUAGAUAAGUUCUGAAAUCUGUAUUAUUUUGAGGAGUGAUAUUAGCUAGCUUUGGACCGAUUUCAACGAAAAAAUUAUUAAAAGCAUUUGCUAUUUGGAACGGGUCUGACGACCGACCUUCGUCACAAACUAUGGUGUUGGAGGUUGAUUUUUUUCUUUUAUUUAAUAUUGAUUUGAUCAUUUGCCAUGUACGAUUUAUAUUAUUUUUAUAUUCUUCAAAUUUAGAUUUAUAAUAAUGUUUUUUAGCCUGCCGUUUCAAACAGUUAACUAGUUUAAGAGAAUCUUUGUAUUUAAGUUCGUUUCUAACUGUUGGUUUAUGGAUAUAUUUUUUAUAUAGAUUGUUUUUAUGUCGAAUAGAUUGAAGCAAACCAUCGGUCAUCCAGCAUUUCAGUUUGAUUUUCUUACUAGGUGUUUUUUUUUAUGGAAAAUUGUUAUUAUACAAUGUAGUAAAUUUGGUUAUGAAUAUAUCAUAUGAUUCAUUAGCAUCCUGCAUAUUAAAAAUUUCAUCCCAAUUUGAAUUUUCGAUUUCGCUUUUAAAUUUCGCAAUAUUUUGUGAUGUAAAAGACCUACGGAGUACGUUAUGAUUUGUCGAUUUAAUUUUACUAACAUUCAUGUAAGUUAUAUGAAAUAUUGGUAAGUGAUCUGACACGUCAGAGUAUAUCACUCCACCGUUACUAUCUAAGUCAAAUUGAUUUGUCAAAAAAUUAUCUAAAAGGGUGGCACUUGUCUUAGUAAUUCUUGUGGGCCUGUGAAUUAAAGGGAGAAAAAAAUUACUGAAAAGACAGUUCACAAAGUUCUUACUUUGAGAAUUUGAGUUGUGUUUUAAAAUAUCUAUAUUUAAGUCGCCCGUCAAAAAUACCCUUUUAUUUUCCCUAAAAAGACGGAUCAAAAGGCUAUCAAACUCUUCAAUAAAUGAAUUAAUGUCCAACGAUGGGGCUCUAUACAGGGUUCCUACAAUGAUAUUUUUCCCUGAGCACUGUUCCAGUUCGAUGAAUAAAGAAUCGCAUGUUGCUUCGCUUAAAUUAAGGUCACUGCGUACUACGAAAUUAAAAGAGUCAUGGAUAUACAUUCCAACUCCACCACCUCUAGAAUAUUUCCUAUUAUUGCAAAUAAACGAGUAGUUAGGCAUAUAAACAAGGGGACUUUCGAAUCUUAGCCAGGUUUCGGAUAUGGCAAUUAUAUCAAAUGUAAAUUUCAAAGAGUUAAGACAGCUUGAAAUGUCAUCAAAAGAAUUUAAAAGACUUCUGGCAUUAAAGUGAAUGCUUGAAAAUUUACCGCUGCUCGGGACACCAAUAUUUUCAAAGUUUGUAUUAAAUUCUUCAUAACAAUAGUACCGAGAGUCAUUUGAACUCUCAGUAUAGAAUUGGAAGUCUGGGUCAACAUCGUCAUUUGGGACAAUGCUUUCAUGUGCUAAAAAAGGAUCAAAAUGUAAGUGAGAAAUUCUAUCAAAAUUGUCUUCUAAGGGUUCAUCAGCCGAUAUUACAUCAUCGAGCUCGUUAUCAUUCAACUGGUUGAAAGGAAAUAAUUGUUCAAGACAGUGUUUACAACAAGAAAAAUAUUCGUUCCAGUCAUGGUUCCGACACAUUUGCUUACACAUGUAACAAUAUAUGCGAUUUAGGUCACUGAAUUCUUGUAUAGGUUCACUCGUCAUCAAAGUAAAAAUUUGUCGCUUUAUCAUGUAGGAAUUUCAAUCCAGACUGAUACCUAAUUUGACAAAUGUCAUUAAAAUAUAUUAGGUUACAUACUAUGUGUAUUGUAGCUUUGGCUUUGGGAAAGAUAACAAAACCUAUGCAAAUUGUUGUUGCAAAUUGAAUGAGUGCGAACCAAAUAAAUACAUAUUGAACGUUAAUUGCACGUCGUUUGGUAUACACGGUAAAGUCAUGCCCACAAGAAGGUUGGAGGAAGAGAAUAAAGUUAGUAGAAAAGGAAAUAUGUGAAGAAGAAGAAUUUGCCCUUAUAAUUAAGCUAAUUUGGUACAAAAUUAUAAACAUCGUGGAUAUAAAAUCAGUAGAAAAGUUCAUCGUAUAACCACUAAUAACCACUAUAAGGAGCCAUGCAAUUAUAAGGCAAAAGAAUGAUUAAGUGGAUGCGUCUGCAUCAAAAAGUAAUAUGCAUUACGACAUGAAUUAUUCAAAAUAAAUUGCUAUGAAUGCUAUCAUAUCUCUUUCCUUAUACACAUUUUGGGAGUAAAAAUAAAUACCAUAAAUCUGAUUUUUUUUUUUAAUACAUUUUUCGUGGUCUUGUCAUAAAUAAAGACAUGAGUUCUUCUUGAGAAAUUAACAAUAGUUGGACAAGAUAAACUUCAGACAAUCAAAACUAUAAAAAAUAGAUUGAAUCAAAAGACGAGACUACCUGCAUACACCAUAGUUUGAUGAUUUUUUUUAUAUAUAAAGACAAUGAGACAAGUAUAAAACGCAAAUGCAUGCAGUUAACUUUCCAUCCAUAUCUUUUUUACAUAACUGAUAUGUGCAUCUAUAUUCUGUAAUCAAGUAAAUUUCCAAAAAUCUUGACAGUGCAAUGUUGCUAUAUAGAAUUAAAUACUUCAUAUUCUUCAAAAUUGUGAUAAAGAAACUUCGUCUAACAGUAAAAUGACCCUUCAGCAGAUUCUUGUUUUAUCUUAUUCUUUUUGUUUACAAGCUAUAGGUACAUCAAUUUGUUUACAAUAGUUUUGUUUCAUAGAUCAAAGUUGCACAUCUGAGCAGAAAAAAAAAGAGAAAAAAAGAAAAAAAAAAAAUUGAACUCAUCAUCGUAAGGUCGUGGGUUCGAAUCCCCACUUUGAUUAAAAAAGACCCAUUUUCCGCUGUCUCCUACUAUACCUGACUAUCUUAGACGUAAAAGGCUUCCUAUGUUAUCUAAAAGUUGUGAUUGACUUGAUUGAAAGUUCGGAAAAUAAAUUUCUAGUCUCUCGGCAGACAGCUGAGUGGGAAAAAUGAUUAUAAGAUAACAUUUCUAUUAAGAGAAAAACACAAGCAAUCAUUCAGGUUACCAAUGACUUUCAAUCUUGUCUGUGACGCGGCAAAUUAAAGAAAAACCAAGAAAGUGCCAUCACAUCAUGAUAAUAGUAUAACCUUCCACCACAUUUAAUGAUUGGAUUUGGUGAUUGAACACGACUGAAUGAAAAUCAUAUAGAAUAAUAAACUCGUUGAAACUACAUAAAGAGGGAUGUCUUUACAGAUACAUACUCAGACGUCGAAGACGACAACGGUAUUCGCUUAAUUUCAACAAGUUUAUCUGAUACCUGACUGGCACGAUCCUGCAACCGCUAUUCCGGUCUUGAAACAAGAUGAAGUCCGCACGACUCGCCAUCCCCCUCUUCUUGGUAUUCAUCUUCUGUGUUUACCAAGCUUCUUCAGCUCCUGCUAAAGAUGGGGCCGAGGAAGCAAUAUAUGGCCCGGGUAUGAUAAGAGAACACAAAGCUGAAAUGCGUGAGGAUGGGAACGUGAAACUUGACACCUUUGGUA